GAUGAACGCUAGCGGCAGGCCUAACACAUGCAAGUCGAGGGAGAAGCCCUUUCGGGGGCAGAAACCGGCGCACGGGUGCGUAACGCGUAUGCAACCUACCUUUCACAGGGGGAUAGCCCGAAGAAAUUUGGAUUAAUACCCCAUAAUAUUAUUGGAUGGCAUCAUUUGAUAAUUAAAACUGCGGUGGUGAAAGAUGGGCAUGCGUCCUAUUAGCUAGUUGGAGUGGUAACGGCACCCCAAGGCUACGAUAGGUAGGGGUCCUGAGAGGGAGAUCCCCCACACUGGUACUGAGACUGGGACCAGACUCCUACGGGAGGCAGCAGUGAGGAAUAUUGGUCAAUGGUCGGAAGACUGAACCAGCCAUGCCGCGUGCAGGAAGAAUGCCUUAUGGGUUGUAAACUGCUUUUAUAUGGGAAGAAUAAGGCGUACGUGUACGUUGAUGACGGUACCAUAUGAAUAAGCAUCGGCUAACUCCGUG
RNAcentral lists this ribosomal RNA (478 nucleotides) under uncultured bacterium. Its description in RNAcentral is "partial 16S ribosomal RNA". It matches the Rfam family "Bacterial small subunit ribosomal RNA", at positions 28 to 507 of the family's 1533-position model. The record is from RNAcentral.